RNAcentral lists this ribosomal RNA (256 nucleotides) under Stylochyrus rarior. RNAcentral describes it as "partial 12S ribosomal RNA". Lineage: Eukaryota; Metazoa; Arthropoda; Arachnida; Mesostigmata; Ologamasidae. The record is from RNAcentral.
ACUUAAUAGUAAUAAUAGAGGUAAUUAUUAUUUAUAAAUUUAGGUCUAGGUGCAGCUUAUAAAAAGGAUGAAAUGAAUUAUAUUAGUUAGAUUUAGCUAAUUUUUUUAAAGAAUUUUAAGAAAUAAGUAAGAUUUAAAAGUAAAUUUAUGAGAUAAUCUUAAGUUGAAAUAAGCUCUGAAGUAUGUACAUAUCGCCCGUCGCUCUCAUGAAUAAUUGAGAUAAGUCGUAACAAAGUAAAUAUACCGGAAGGUGUUU